Long non-coding RNA from Columba livia (rock pigeon), 463 nucleotides. RefSeq lists it as uncharacterized. The record is from RefSeq and is a predicted model, not a curated record. The transcript has 3 exons. NCBI's taxonomy places the organism in Eukaryota, Metazoa, Chordata, Aves, Columbiformes, Columbidae.
AUUCAGCUGUGCUGAUAGUUUAAUUAAUGCCAUUAAUAUAUAUAACUCACUAAAAACUGUUUUAUGGUAACACUAAGUUGGCAAAGCAAGGAAAUUUCAGAGGUAAAGCUACAGCAUAACACUUCCCUUUGUUUCCAGGUAGUACAAGAUUCUCCAGACAGUGGGUGAACUCACAGACUACACGAGUAACAAAAAACCAAGUUGUAAUGAGCUGAGAGCACCCUUUAGAUGUGCCGCUCCAACCAAGAUGCUCACCUGCAUUACUUUACACCAAACAAGGCACCUGCUGCACCAGCACAUCAGUCAGGUUGCUAUGAAGUCAGAAGAAGCAACCUAAGAGAACAGAGCACAGAGCUGCUAGAGGAACGCAUGUGGGAGGAGAACUGAUAGGGGCAUGCGAAGACCUGUGGUGAGAAGCCAAAAACCACAUUCAGGUUAUGCAUCUGCUUGACAAAUAAAGAUA